This is a long non-coding RNA of Drosophila montana, 1486 nucleotides long. RefSeq lists it as uncharacterized. The record is from RefSeq and is a predicted model, not a curated record. The transcript is spliced from 2 exons. NCBI's taxonomy places the organism in Eukaryota, Metazoa, Arthropoda, Insecta, Diptera, Drosophilidae.
ACUUAAGAAUAAUAACCGUUCUCCUUGUAAUUAUCGUAGUGCUAAUGUGCAUUAACCUUUUCUUCAAAUUAUACAAAGUGCACAAUAGGUGCUUAAAGAAAAAAUAUAUGAGUCGUGCAAACGACUUAGAUAAAACAUAAAAAAAAAAAAACGAUAUUUUCUUUUUACUUUUGAUCUCUCCUCAAUAAACUCAAUGGCUACGAACAAAGCGAUAGCUGAAGUAUAUUUACGAGACCCACAUUUUAGGGAAAGAGUUCAGCAAUUAGUAACUGCAACUGCAAUAAGUAUGUAUAUACCAACUUAUGUUUCUAUAUUUGGAUACUUUCAAUCUCGAUCACUCACCUCUGAUACAUUGCUCAUAAACGCAAAAAGGAAUAGUAUUAAGUACUAUUCCUGGUAUACAAGUGAAAUCAGUAAUUAAAAAACACCCAAUAUUAGGCAGAACGUUAGAUUUAGAUGUAGCAUUCAAAAAAACACUCAUCAAUUAGAACACCCUAUUAUAGGCCCGACCGACAUUAUUAUUGUGCGUUUUCACAGAUAAAUUAAACAUGUCAAUAAAUGGACUGGAGGCAAAUCGUUACCAUUCUUAGGCGUUGUUUCUAAGUUUUAUAAAUCCUUCAAGUGACUCAACCCGAGUUUUAUAAAUCUUUCAAGUGACUCAACAAAAGAGUACCAAUUUCAAACGACACAAAAUUAAAACACGUUAAAAUUCUUGUAGAUUCCUACAAUAUCAGCCGCAAACUUAUAUGUGACAAUGCAACAAAAUUAAAAGAUUUGCAUGUAACACAGACAGUUGAUGCACAUUAAACAUUAAACGAAUUUCGGAUAGGCAUAAAAUAACAAUAUUCCUUCCAAAAUUCACUUAACACUUCAGCGUCAUUCGACGAGAAAUUACUUUCAAUGCCAGCUGAUACCAAACCAUCAGAAACUGAAGUAAAUACCCCAUCAAUUGACAACACAAACAGCUUAAAGUUUUCUCAAACAAGCCUAAUCGCUCUUACCAGAGUUUGAUAGAAAGGCAGAAAACUUACAAAGCUUCAAAAAUGCUUUUAGUCUUAUAGACUCACUAAAAGAAGAUCAUGAAGCAACAGCUGUCAGUCUUAUAAAGACAAAACAAAAAGCCCAAGCAGUAAAGGCAAUGACCAAAAACUGUGCAAUCGAUAAGAAGUAAUUAUAGAUGCCGACCAUACAACAGAGGCGGCUACAUAAAUAACAACAAUAACUGAGGCAAUCCUCGAGGCGGCUCAUAUAGAGGCGGCGCAAACAGAGGACACACGCAGCAAAACCAGAACCGAGUUACACAAGGCAACUCGGAAAACCAUCAAACCCCCUUGAGCAACGAACAAUAAAAAUAUUGCAUAUAAAUCUAAGUCUCAGUAGUCUCAUCAAAAUACACAAUGGAAAAAAUUAUAUAUCAUUAACUCUGUUAGAAGAUACAGGAGCAAAUGUCUAAAUUUUAAAGAAUAAUAAAAUAGAUUAAAAUAUA